UACGAAGGGGGCUAGCGUUGUUCGGAAUCACUGGGCGUAAAGGGUGCGUAGAUGGCCUGAUAAGUUAGCAGUGGGAAAUCGAGGCUCAACCUCGUGGAAGCUGGUAAUACUGUCAGGCUCGAGUGCAGGAGAGGUUAACGGAACUCCAUGUGGAGCGGUAAAAUGUGUAGAUAUAUGGAAGAACACCAAUAACGGCGAAGGCAGUUAACUAUUCUGUUACUGACAUUGAGGCACGAAAGCGUGGGGAGCAAAACGG
This 256-nucleotide ribosomal RNA is filed under the name uncultured bacterium. RNAcentral describes it as "partial 16S ribosomal RNA". It matches the Rfam family "Bacterial small subunit ribosomal RNA", at positions 524 to 776 of the family's 1533-position model. The record is from RNAcentral.